RNAcentral lists this ribosomal RNA (468 nucleotides) under uncultured bacterium. RNAcentral's name for it is "partial 16S ribosomal RNA". It matches the Rfam family "Bacterial small subunit ribosomal RNA", at positions 28 to 507 of the family's 1533-position model. The record is from RNAcentral.
GACGAACGCUGGCGGCGUGCUUAACACAUGCAAGUCGAACGGAAAGGCCCUGCUUUUGUGGGGUGCUCGAGUGGCGAACGGGUGAGUAACACGUGAGUAACCUGCCCUUGACUUUGGGAUAACUUCAGGAAACUGGGGCUAAUACCGGAUAGGAGCUCCUGCUGCAUGGUGGGGGUUUGAAAGUUUCGGCGGUUGGGGAUGGACUCGCGGCUUAUCAGCUUGUUGGUGGGGUAGUGGCUUACCAAGGCUUUGACGGGUAGCCGGCCUGAGAGGGUGACCGGCCACAUUGGGACUGAGAUACGGCCCAGACUCCUACGGGAGGCAGCAGUGGGGAAUAUUGCACAAUGGGCGGAAGCCUGAUGCAGCAACGCCGCGUGCGGGAUGACGGCCUUCGGGUUGUAAACCGCUUUCGCCUGUGACGAAGCGUGAGUGACGGUAAUGUGUAAAGAAGCACCGGCUAACUACGUG